UUAGUUAUUUUUUGAUUAAUCAUGUUUUAGUGAUUUUAGUAUUAGUUUAACCUUUAGUUUGAAUAUGUUUGGAUUCGGUGUUUACUUUUAUAGGUUUUAAUUUCUCCAGUUAGUAUUCAAUUUUAAUUUAGAUAGAAAUGUUGUAGGUUAAACUAGAACACCCUAGACUCUUCUAGAAUAGGGCCUUAGUUCUAAUUUAAGAAGCUUGGGGCAGUAACUUGAGAAACAAGUCAAAACAUUAAGGGAUAUUAAAUAAAAACAGAAAAUAAAAGGGGGAAAAUGGGUAAUUAAAUCUAGAAUUUUCUUCCCCCUUUUUUCUACCUAUAAAAGGCAGUAUACCUGCCUUCUUUUAUAAGUUUUGAACCCUGAAAAAAUUCCCAAAAGUUCCAGCUCUGAAAAAUCUCCCCAAAAAAAAACCUCCUAAUUCAAAUCUCUGAAGUUUGAAAAUUCACAAUCCAAAUGCAAGCAAUUGAAGUUCGAUCUCUAUCUUUCAGAAGUUCAGAAAAUAAUACCAAAAACUCGGAAAAAAAAAGGUCGUGCUAUUCUGCUGUAGUUCGUAGUCCAAUUUCAAAUUCUAGUUCCUACUUCAAAAUUCUAGUUUACAUAAGGGCAAAGUAGCUUAGAUAUUCUAGUUUUGAUCAAUAUUUGAGGUUUUAAAGACUGUUGGGUUAAUUACACGCUAAAUUUUGUUUUGUUCUAGUCAAUUUUGGUUGUAUACUGGUUUUUCAUGGCUGAAUUCCAAGCUGAAAUUACUGUUGUUGUGCUCUUUCACCUGUUGCUGACCUCCUUCUUCUCCUUUGUUUCAUUGCAAUCCCAGGUAUUCUUCAACUUCGAAUAUGUGAAGGACCAAAUCCACGGUUCUAUUCGAAUUGCUGAAUAAAUGACCAAUUCUCAUGUUGAUUUCAAGUUUAGCUUAUUUCCAUACUUGUUAGUUCACAUGUUGGAUUGUAUAGUAAUAGUAUUUGAUAUUAAUUGCAUAUAACAGGACUGUUUAACCGGAUUGUAUAAUUGGGAUGUGUAAUAGAUCUUAAUUAUAGACUAUGUUAGUUCGUAUGCUAGCAUAUGUAUAGCUUCUGAUGACUGUAUAAUCUAGACUAUUGUAGAUCGCAAAAAAAAUUAUAUUUCAAUAAAAUAGGAUCCUUGAAUUUGAUGUUAAGCAAUUCAGUUUCGUGUUCUAAAAGAUUACGCUAGUUUAGAUCUGAAGAGCAAAUCUAGAAUUAAAUUGAUAAUUGUACUAAAUUUGAAUGUUUCUUUCUGUUUGUUAUUCCAA
This 1270-nucleotide long non-coding RNA is filed under the name Nicotiana benthamiana. RNAcentral's name for it is "long non-coding RNA (NBEN_LNC037158)". The record is from RNAcentral. Lineage: Eukaryota; Viridiplantae; Streptophyta; Magnoliopsida; Solanales; Solanaceae.